GAACUGCUGGAGAGUCCCACAAUUGAACGAAACGGUCGUCCAGUGC
RNAcentral lists this non-coding RNA (46 nucleotides) under Schistosoma bovis. The record is from RNAcentral. RNAcentral also lists the same sequence under 1 other name. Lineage: Eukaryota; Metazoa; Platyhelminthes; Trematoda; Strigeidida; Schistosomatidae.